Molecule: transfer RNA, 71 nt
Filed under: Loxodonta africana (African savanna elephant)
Lineage: Eukaryota; Metazoa; Chordata; Mammalia; Proboscidea; Elephantidae
Rfam family: tRNA
About the family: Transfer RNA (tRNA) molecules are approximately 80 nucleotides in length. Their secondary structure includes four short double-helical elements and three loops (D, anti-codon, and T loops). Further hydrogen bonds mediate the characteristic L-shaped molecular structure. tRNAs have two regions of fundamental functional importance: the anti-codon, which is responsible for specific mRNA codon recognition, and the 3' end, to which the tRNAs corresponding amino acid is attached (by aminoacyl-tRNA synthetases). tRNAs cope with the degeneracy of the genetic code in two manners: having more than one tRNA (with a specific anti-codon) for a particular amino acid; and 'wobble' base-pairing, i.e. permitting non-standard base-pairing at the 3rd anti-codon position.
Source: Rfam by way of RNAcentral
GCAGCGGUGGUUCAGUAGUGGAAGUCUUGCCUUCCGUGCAGGUGACCUGGGUUCGAUUCCUGGCCAAUACA